RNAcentral lists this ribosomal RNA (119 nucleotides) under Salmo salar (Atlantic salmon). The record is from RNAcentral. Lineage: Eukaryota; Metazoa; Chordata; Actinopteri; Salmoniformes; Salmonidae.
GCUUACGGCCAUAUCAGCCUGGGUACGCCCGAUCUCGUCUGAUCUCGGAAGCUAAGCAGGGUCGGGCCUGGUUAGUACUUGGAUGGGAGACCGCCUGGAAAUACCAGGUGCUGUAAGCA